AAUAUUGCGCAAUGGAGGAAACUCUGACGCAGCGACGCCGCGUGAGCGAUGAAGGUCUUCGGCUCGUAGAGCUCUUUCCUUGGGGCAGAAGGUCUUCGGACUUGACGGUACCCAUGGAGGUAGCCCCUGCUAACUACGUGCCAGCAGCCGCGGUAAUACGUAGGGGGCAAGCGUUGUCCGGAAUUAUUGGGCGUAAAGGGUGCGUAGGCGGCCUUUUAAGUCAGAUGUGAAAGCCCACGGCUUAACCGGGGGACUGCAUUUGAAACUGGAGGGCUGGAGUAUCGGAGAGGGUAGUGGAAUUCCCAGUGUAGCGGUGGAAUGCGUAAAUAUUGGGAGGAACACCAGUGGCGAAGGCGACUACCUGGACGAAAACUGACGCUGAGGCACGAAAGCUAGGGGAGCAAAC
RNAcentral lists this ribosomal RNA (406 nucleotides) under uncultured bacterium. RNAcentral's name for it is "partial 16S ribosomal RNA". It matches the Rfam family "Bacterial small subunit ribosomal RNA", at positions 360 to 773 of the family's 1533-position model. The record is from RNAcentral.